GGUGAGUAACGCGUGGGUAACCUGCCUUAUACAGGGGGAGUAACAGUCAGAAAUGGCUGCUAAUACCGCAUAAGCGCACAGAGCUGCAUGGCUCAGUGUGAAAAACUCCGGUGGUAUGAGAUGGACCCGCGUCUGAUUAGCUAGUUGGUGGGGUAACGGCCUACCAAGGCGACGAUCAGUAGCCGGCCUGAGAGGGUGAACGGCCACAUUGGGACUGAGACACGGCCCAAACUCCUACGGGAGGCAGCAUG
Molecule: ribosomal RNA, 251 nt
Filed under: uncultured bacterium
Lineage: Bacteria
Description: partial 16S ribosomal RNA
Rfam family: Bacterial small subunit ribosomal RNA
Source: RNAcentral